GUGCUUAUAUAAAAAAAUAGUCUUUUAUCCUGGGCCGGGUCGAGAAACAUCUUUUGCAGACCGGCCCGGUCAAGGUCGGUGCCGUCGCAUGGAAACACCUUGGGCCGAGGCGUGGCGCAUUCAAAUUCUGUAGGUCUUCCAGGUAGUUCAUGAGGCCAUGCUUCGUCUUGGGGACAGAGCGGGAAAUGGCGCUACGGAAAGGUUUCCCUCUUCCCUUCCUCUAUUUCUUUUCUCUCCGACGCCGAAGCCGAUGAUGACGAACACUGUUGGCGCGCGCGAUCUUGGAUCAGUCGCCUUUGGUGAUGGCGAUGGUGGGGCAGCUUGGAUGGUCGGCAUGGGAACCGCAGCAGCCAUGUUUAACUCUUUGGAUGGGAUUCGGUGGAAGAGAGAAGAAAAAACCAGAUCGCUUCUCCUCCGCUGAUAAGAGAGGAGAAGAUGCAACAUCACUUCUCCUCCGCUGAGAAAACGGAGAAAUGCAAGAUCGUUUGUCCCCGUGAUGAACAAGUAGCGAAUCUGAACCUUCCCUAUUUAUUAUUAUUGUUAUUAGAUCUAGAGUUAUGGCACUUAUGUUGGAGUUCAGUCUGCGUCCACUUCCAGCAGCUGCCUUUCUCCAAGCCUAAUUUUGGCACCCAUGUUGGAGUUUAGUCUAUUUGCUCAAGUGAUUGUUUAAGGUAGCAUUUUGCCCGGGAGCAUCAAAAACCCUUCUGUUUUUGCAUUUUGUUGAAAUAAAGCUUGGGCAUGAACCUGGGAGUAUCAAUUAAUGUUGUAGAAUUGUUUUUAUUUUUCCAAGCUUAUUAAGGAUUUAAUAGGUUUAGACCAGGAUUAUCCUAUCUAAAGUAUCCAUUUGCUCCAAAGGUUGUUCUAUUCAUUAGGAGCUGAAUCAGAUUUAUAGGAAUCCCUUUUGUUACUCCACUCAAUAGUUUAAGUGUAAUACUCUGUUAGCAAUGGUCGAC
This is a long non-coding RNA of Musa acuminata AAA Group (dessert banana), 953 nucleotides long. RefSeq lists it as uncharacterized. Lineage: Eukaryota; Viridiplantae; Streptophyta; Magnoliopsida; Zingiberales; Musaceae. The record is from RefSeq and is a predicted model, not a curated record. The transcript is spliced from 3 exons.